UACGAAGGGGGCUAGCGUUGCUCGGAAUCACUGGGCGUAAAGGGUGCGUAGGCGGGUCUUUAAGUCAGGGGUGAAAUCCUGGAGCUCAACUCCAGAACUGCCUUUGAUACUGAGGAUCUUGAGUACGGGAGAGGUGAGUGGAACUGCGAGUGUAGAGGUGAAAUUCGUAGAUAUUCGGAAGAACACCAGUGGCGAAGGCGGCUCACUGGCCCGGUACUGACGCUGAGGUGCGAAAGCGUGGGGAGCAAACAGG
This 253-nucleotide ribosomal RNA is filed under the name uncultured bacterium. RNAcentral describes it as "partial 16S ribosomal RNA". It matches the Rfam family "Bacterial small subunit ribosomal RNA", at positions 524 to 776 of the family's 1533-position model. The record is from RNAcentral.